AGCUCGCAUCGCGCCGCCUUCGGCGUCGAGGCGCCGAAGGACCG
RNAcentral lists this unclassified non-coding RNA (44 nucleotides) under Sorangium cellulosum So ce56. Lineage: Bacteria; Pseudomonadati; Myxococcota; Polyangiales; Polyangiaceae. The record is from RNAcentral.